UUACUCAAAGAGUUUCAACAAUUUAUAACAAAGAGAAACGGUACUCACCUAUUUAAAUUGAAAUAUUGAUCAUUCGCAUUUCAGUUUAAGACUCAAAUUGUUUUACUUAUUCAGCUACUGGCGAAUUCAUGUAUAUUACUAAAAAGGUGUAAAGCAGACUGCAAUUACACAACAGACCCAACUAUUUUCGAAUUAACUCAAGCUAGCAUUUCCUGAUAAACUGGACUAUUACACUUAAUUGUUGAAACUUGUAAUCCUAUGGCACUGACUAUUUGAAACGUUAUUUUCUUUUCAUUAGAGCUGCAAAUUGACAGAAGCAUUAUACAGUCAUAUACCUUAGAUUGACAAGAUAAUCAAGCUCAAACUAUGAAAAUGCUACUAAUUAUGUGUUCUACUAUUCACGUAGAUCUAAAACGAUUCACAAAUCAUCUAUCAACUUAUCAUGAAACUAAUUACCACUAAUGUUCAACUCAUAGUAUUCAUCUGGAUUUACAUUAGAGCAAUUUAUACAGUUCAUUUAAUACAAAAACAGGAACAAAUUUAAACAAUGUCAAGGAGCUAAGUGUUGAAUGUACAGAUCUGGAAAUGAACUAAAUCAGUGCUAACUUCUUCAAAUAACUCAUUUCUGCACAUUUUAACUAUAGUCAUUAGGGAUACAAUUGUGCUCAUAGAGUUUGAGAUUAAGAAAAAGGAGAGAUCGGCAACAGCAGAUAACAGACAACAACAUUUUUGGAGUUCAAACAACGACAAAUACAACCAAUUUCAGCCUAGAAAUGACUCAGCGACCUAGAAAUCUAACGAGACUGAUAUAGCAACCCAAAAACAACGCCAAAAUGACCAGAACAAACCCAAGAGAUCAACACACUCAAACAGAUAAUCCACAAUUGACUCGAAUUAACCAAAUCCAAUGCCUAAAUGACUCGACAUGCCUUCAUCCACCAAUUAUCGAACAGAAACGGAGAUUCCAGUAACUUUGGAUCCUACCUGAGCUAGAAAAUUGAACUGGAUUCUGGAAUUUGAAAAAUGAACUAAGGGAACUAAUGUAACAAUAGUUUUUUUUUUUGUAUUUUUUGAUUUUUUUGAAAGUUUUCUACUGUUUUUUGGUUUUUCUUAUGAAGAAAGCUAAGAUCUAAAGGAAUGUUUUGAUCUGAAAUUUGAAUUUCAAAUAUGAAGCUUGAAGAGUAUUUAUUUGGGGGGAAUUUUUGAGGCUUGCAAAUUUAUUUUCCAAUUAGACUCUACUGCCUUUUUAUAGGCAAAGUUAAAAGGGAAGCUUCUAGAUCUUAUUCACACCUUUCCCCCUAUUUUAUUUCAAAUUUUAUUUAAUAUCCCCUAAUGUAUUGAGUUGCUGCCUAUGUUUUUACCUUAAGUUAUCAAAGUUCUGAUUUGAAACUCAUCUAGAAGGUUCUAGAGCUUCCAAUUCAGUUGCUGAAAGAAUUCAUUGCCCCACAUACCUAUCUACCCUUCAAUGUCCUGUUAUUUACCUAAGCUAAAACAUACUAUGAGUCAAAAGGCCCAAUGGAUUUAAACUGAAUUUGAAUUGGGCUAUUUAAAAAGAUUCAAAGAUGGAUUAAGCCCAUGCAAUGAACUACACAACCAAAAGCCCUUACAAAUUAACACAAACAGGGACACACAAAUAAUGCACAAUUUCCCACAAUUAAACAAGUUAUUGACAGAUUAAUAACCAUAUGCGGAGAAGUAACCAGGCUAUUGAUUUAAAACGACCUAACUAAAUCAAACUAAUCAAUCUAUCAAAGAAUUUAAUCAAUGUUUUAAUCCGCCUUAUUACCAAAAUUUAACAGACCAACACAAAUCGGGGAAUUAACAAAGGAACAUAUCCUAUUAUUACCCGAAGACCAUUCGAAUAUCAUUUUAAUCAACCAGAAAAAAAAGAAAAAGAUGAAGGAGAAUAACCGGGGAUUAACAUUUAACAAGAACCAAGAAAGGAAGAAAUUACCGCUUUAAAUUUGAUACUGUCAGUCAUGCGGAGGUCGAACAGACCCUGGAAACUCGUGUGAUUUCAGAGGGCCAAGCUUGCAUAGCUACGAAGAACUUUGACUGCUAAGUCUGAAAACCCUAGCUUUAGGAUUCGACGAAUUCUGGCGGUAUUUGAAAGAAACCAAGUGGGAAUUUGGGAUUAGGGAGAGAAGGCGACUCCAGGGUGUUAAUUUGGCGAAGUUUGGAGAAGAUAGGGUUUUUGGCGGAUCUUUGAUUUAAUAUUCGAAUAGAUUGGCUGCGUUUUGAGAGAAAAUGGCAUUGGAAAUGGUGAGGUGAUAAGAAAAGGGUUAUGGGGUGUAAAUUUGGAAGGGAAUGGAGCAUCGGCACCGGCGGAAACGAUUUUCGGUCGGCAGCUUACGAUGGAAUGGGGCGGUGUUACAAGUGUACGAGGAAAUUGAAAUUAUCUUUAGGGUUUGCAAGAUUAUGGGACAAUUUUAUCAAAUAUCAGAGAAUGAAU
RNAcentral lists this long non-coding RNA (2452 nucleotides) under Nicotiana benthamiana. Its description in RNAcentral is "long non-coding RNA (NBEN_LNC010915)". The record is from RNAcentral. Lineage: Eukaryota; Viridiplantae; Streptophyta; Magnoliopsida; Solanales; Solanaceae.